This 279-nucleotide ribosomal RNA is filed under the name uncultured bacterium. Its description in RNAcentral is "partial 16S ribosomal RNA". It matches the Rfam family "Bacterial small subunit ribosomal RNA", at positions 506 to 784 of the family's 1533-position model. The record is from RNAcentral.
UGCCAGCCGCCGCGGUAAUACGGAGGGUGCAAGCGUUGUUCGGAAUUAUUGGGCGUAAAGCGCGUGUAGGCGGUUCGUUAAGUCUGAUGUGAAAGCCCGGGGCUCAACCCCGGAAGUGCAUUGGAAACUGGCGAACUUGAGUACGGGAGAGGAAAGUGGAAUUCCGAGUGUAGGGGUGAAAUCCGUAGAUAUCAGGAGGAACACCGAUGGCGAAGGCGGCUUCCUGGACACCAACUGACGCUGAGACGCGAAAGCGUGGGGAGCAAACAGGAUUAGAUA